This 361-nucleotide ribosomal RNA is filed under the name Cirratulus cirratus. Its description in RNAcentral is "partial 16S ribosomal RNA". It matches the Rfam family "Bacterial large subunit ribosomal RNA", at positions 1959 to 2518 of the family's 2925-position model. Lineage: Eukaryota; Metazoa; Annelida; Polychaeta; Terebellida; Cirratulidae. The record is from RNAcentral.
GCGUAAUCCUUUGCCUCUUAAUUGGAGGAUAGUAUGAAUGGAUAAACGAGAGUGUCACUGUCUCAUUAAGACAAAUAAAAAUUAUCACUCGGGUGAAGAGACCCAGAAUACCAUGAAAAGACAAAAAGACCCUGUAGAGCUUAAUCUUACCCACAUCUAUUAAUUUAUAUUACCACAUAUAUAAAAUUUUUACAUGUUGUAAGAUUUGGUUGGGGCAACCGAGGACUAAUUAAAUCAUCCUCCUAUAACCUAAGACUAAUACGUCAUAAAAUAGAUCCAACUCAAACCUGAUCAAAAGCACAAGCUACCUCAGGGAUAACAGGCUAAUCCCUCUUAAGAGUUCACAUCAACAGGAGUGGGC